This 82-nucleotide transfer RNA is filed under the name Candidatus Avanaerovorax faecigallinarum. RNAcentral describes it as "tRNA-Leu". It matches the Rfam family "tRNA". Rfam says of the family: Transfer RNA (tRNA) molecules are approximately 80 nucleotides in length. The record is from RNAcentral. Lineage: Bacteria; Bacillati; Bacillota.
GCGGCCGUGGCGGAAUGGCAGACGCGUACGUUUGAGGGGCGUAUGGGCAACCGUGCUGGUUCGAGUCCAGUCGGCCGCACCA